Molecule: ribosomal RNA, 778 nt
Filed under: uncultured bacterium
Lineage: Bacteria
Description: bacterial SSU rRNA
Rfam family: Bacterial small subunit ribosomal RNA
Source: RNAcentral
AGAGUUUGAUCAUGGCUCAGGACGAACGCUGGCGGCGUGCCUAACACAUGCAAGUCGAGCGAGGUCCAUUCGGUAGCAAUACCGAUGAAGACCUAGCGGCGAACGGGUGAGUAACACGUGAGAACCUGCCCCAAAGUCUGGGAUAACCCGGGGAAACCCGAGCUAAUACCGGAUACCUUCUUUUGAUCGCAUGGUCAGCUGAAGAAAGUUUUUUCGCUUUGGGAGGGUCUCGCGGCCUAUCAGUUUGUUGGUGGGGUAACGGCCUACCAAGACAUCGACGGGUAGCUGGUCUGAGAGGACGAUCAGCCACACUGGGACUGAGACACGGCCCAGACUCCUACGGGAGGCAGCAGUGGGGAAUCUUGCGCAAUGGGCGAAAGCCUGACGCAGCAACGCCGCGUGCGGGAUGACGGCCUUCGGGUUGUAAACCGCUUUCAGCAGGGACGAAAUUGACGGUACCUGCAGAAGAAGCCCCGGCCAACUACGUGCCAGCAGCCGCGGUAACACGUAGGGGGCGAGCGUUGUCCGGAUUUAUUGGGCGUAAAGAGCUCGUAGGCGGCUUUGUCAGUCGGGUGUGAAACCUCCAGGCUCAACCUGGAGCCGCCACCCGAUACUGCAAUAGCUAGAGUCCGGUAGGGGAGCAUGGAACUCCUGGUGUAGCGGUGAAAUGCGCAGAUAUCAGGAAGAACACCAGUGGCGAAGGCGGUGCUCUGGGCCGGAACUGACGCUGAGGAGCGAAAGCGUGGGGAGCAAACAGGAUUAGAUACCCUAGUAGUCC